CGAUAGGCGUAGUCGAUGGACAACAGGUUGAUAUUCCUGUACUUCUAUAAAUCGUUUGAGCAAUGGAGGGACGCAGGAGGCUAAGAAAAGCGUACGACUGGAAGUGUACGCCCAAGCAGUGAGUCGGCUGAUGAGUCAAAUGCUUAUCACGGAUGCGACAAGCUGUAACGGGGAGGGAAGUUUAGUACCGAAGUUUCUGAUGUCACACUGCCGAGAAAAGCUUCUAGCAAGAUUUAUAGGACCCGUACCGCAAACCGACACAGGUAGUUGAGGAGAGAAUCCUAAGGUGAGCGAGCGAACU
RNAcentral lists this ribosomal RNA (301 nucleotides) under Mycobacterium tuberculosis. RNAcentral describes it as "partial 23S ribosomal RNA". It matches the Rfam family "Bacterial large subunit ribosomal RNA", at positions 1403 to 1700 of the family's 2925-position model. The record is from RNAcentral. Lineage: Bacteria; Bacillati; Actinomycetota; Actinomycetes; Mycobacteriales; Mycobacteriaceae.